CAUCAUGUACAAUAGAUGUCUCUCUCUGAGAUGUGCAUAGAAUAUAACUCAAUGUCACCUUCCUUGAGGUUUCAUCUAUUCCAAUCUUCUUGCAUAUCUUUUUUACUAACAUAGAGUAUGUUACCUUUGACGUCCUCAACAAUACACCGCUUAAAGAAUUGUUAGAAAUCCACUCAUGCUCUUUUGAAUAAUACCCAUUGUCAAAUUGUAUGAAUGUGUGCUUGUUCUUCAUCGUCUCAUGUAAUUACAAA
RNAcentral lists this small RNA (251 nucleotides) under Arabidopsis thaliana (thale cress). RNAcentral's name for it is "ATSL210360". Lineage: Eukaryota; Viridiplantae; Streptophyta; Magnoliopsida; Brassicales; Brassicaceae. The record is from RNAcentral.